Molecule: long non-coding RNA, 2561 nt
Organism: Phasianus colchicus (ring-necked pheasant)
Lineage: Eukaryota; Metazoa; Chordata; Aves; Galliformes; Phasianidae
Source: Ensembl
GCAAAGUGGCGAGGCCAGACUGUUUUCAGCAGUGUGCGGAGACAGGACAAGGGGAAAUGGCCAGAAGCUGGUGCGGAACUUCCUAUGCUCCAAUGUGCGCAAGAACUUUACGGUGAGGUGACGGAGCACUGGAACAGGCUGCCCAGGGAGGUUGUGGAGUCUCCUUCUCUGGAGAUAUUCAAGACCCGCCUGGAUGCCUACCUGUGUGACCUGGUGUAGGGAUCCUGCUUUGGCAGGGGGGUUGGACUUGAUGAUCUCUGGAGGUCCCUUCCAACCCCUAUGAUUCUGUGAUUCUGUGUGUGAUCCUCCAUAGUUCUCAGAUAUCCAUAAGACAUGGAAGACCAUCUCUGCCACUGCAGAAUGUAUUUGUAGUGAUCAUACAACAGACAAUCUGUUCUGGAACUCCAGGUUAAUGAGGGCAAUGUCUUGCUGGAUUCAUUUUUUUUUUUACCCCCAUUUGGUCUCCUGGACUAUUUGAAUAAUAGACACUAUCAGUACUAUUACCUUAUGGGGUAAUAUCUGACAACAUGAUGUGCUUAUGAUGGGCUUCACAAAAUACAUCCACGGAUAUAAUUUUUUCUGUUGUAGGAAAACAAUCUGGGCAGCCUUUAUACGGUACUGAGCCAUAAGUAAUGGGUAGAAUUUCAAAUGCAUUAGUACUUCUUGAUAAUUGAUAUAUUUGGUCUGUGAACUAAUUUCAGCAAUCCAGAGUUUUUUCUUAUUGUGUCUUCAGGAGAAUUUGACGCUAAUCUCACAGCUGCUGUUGUGAGACUCUAGCAGAUACGUUCAUCUCACUAGACGUGAAGCCUGUAAUGAUUCGCUGUAGUGCAGCUGUACAAGGCAGUUUCAGUGUCCCAGUGUGGAGACCAGGCAAACAAAGGAAUGCUGGUGCUUGUAUACAACUUCGCAGGCAAAGCUGGACCCAGGAGCUCGGAGAUCCCACUGAGGUUUUAUAUCAAGACGAUGGGCAUCUGAAUUUGGUAACAGCUUCAAUGCAAGAUCAGUCAGUACGAGUGGUUUGUCUGCUAAAUUAAAAAUGAGACUAGACACUGAGUCUGUAUGUGUGAAGAGCAAGGGUGCCAACACUGCUGACAUCCUGACAGUUCUCCGUAGAUCUUUUUCUCUCAGUUGAUCAGAAGUGCACUGUAACUUUGACCUCUGAUGCGUGAUGAUGACAUGCAUAUGUGUUUUCAUAGGCAUAUAUGAACAUACAUUCCAAUUAAUAAGCAUGGAAGACCCGUGAUGGAGAACAGGCACUGAUUAUAUCAGAGCCUAACAAUUAUUCUGUGUUUUAUUUUUUGUGUUCUUUUUUGCUGAUGAAUAAGCUAUUAGGCUUUAAUAUUGCAUUGUCUAGACUAUUUUUUUUUUUUUUCGGAAGAGUUAUUAUAUAAAGGCUGUCUGUGCCUUCUUUGUAAUAUACUGAUGGUCUUGACAGAUUUUUCAGGAGACAUGUGGGACUCAUUUGUUACCCAUCCCAGGAGGGAUGUCAUGAUGAUAAAUAAUGACUGUAUCAGCCAGCGCUCUCUAGAGCGAUGUUCCCCCUGGAACAGGGGUGACUGGAGAAAAAAAUGGCUAAUGGCCCAAGCUGCACUGACAUACAGACUGAAGUUUCCAUGUGACAAUAUACUGAGCUGAGGGCAGGUCCUGAAUGUCAGUAUACAUCACCUCAGCUGGAAAAGCUGCUGUCCAAAUGGUUUCCUGAUUUAGUUUAUUCAGCAGCCUUUCCCACUUUCCUCUGGCCUUACUCCUGGCUACAAAUGGUACAGUACCCAUUUGCAACAUGUGUGAUGGAAACGUCUGGUUAGUAGGCUGUACCUGAGAGCGUAUUAAGUAAAAACACAACAAUGCCUGGAGGUCACAACCAUGGCAGUGUCAGGUGGAGGAUGCUGGAAAUGUACUUUCUAGUUUAGUUGUCAUUUGAGAUGCACUGAAAAUGAAUAGUGAAGUUGACAUUUAUAUAAAUAUCCUGUGUAUUUUCUGGGGUAUCCAGACUCAAAUCUUUCCACGUGUUCAUACAUGCAAUGUGUUUUACAGCCUUCCAGGCCUUACACUGUCAUACACAGGUAGGACAUUGUUGCUGAAUUCAUAAAGAGCAAACGCCAUCAGUGAUGGCUGUCCAGGCAGGCAGCCAGUGUGAUAUGCUGAAGGUGAACAAAUAUUAGAAAUGUCUAAGUUCUGGAAAUUAAUUACUUGAUAUCCACAAAGUGCAUUUACAGACUUGAAGGAAAAAAAAUGAGUUUAGAGACGUUCCAUCUUGCAGGUUUCUAAUCUUCCCAGUCACCUCUGUGUUGGAGUAUCUUCCAAGAGAGCAGUCUCACAAUUAGUUCUCUUUAAUCAAAUAUUUGCCCUUUCCAAUGAAAAUAAUUAUAUAUUUUUCUGGCAGAAAAUUGUUUGAAACACCAUUUCCUCCAUUGUCUAUUUCCAUUUAUUCUUGUGAAUGCAUUUUUAUGCAGAUAUUCAGAAUACAGAAGCUGUACACUAGACUUCGAAGGGAACUUCAGCAACAAUUGUGCGUAGCAAUGUGAGGUCAAUAAACUUCAUUAGGAAAAAAAUAGUUAGCA